GACGAACGCUGGCGGCGUGCUUAACACAUGCAAGUCGAACGGAAAGGCCCUGCUUUUGUGGGGUGCUCGAGUGGCGAACGGGUGGGUAACACGUGAGUAACCUGCCCUUGACUUUGGGAUAACUUCAGGAAACUGGGGCUAAUACCGGAUAGGAGCUCCUGCUGCAUGGUGGGGGUUGGAAAGUUUCGGCGGUUGGGGAUGGACUCGCGGCUUAUCAGCUUGUUGGUGGGGUAGUGGCUUACCAAGGCUUUGACGGGUAGCCGGCCUGAGAGGGUGACCGGACACAUUAGGACUGAGAUACGGCCCAGACUCCUACGGGAGGCAGCAGUGGGGAAUAUUGCACAAUGGGCGGAAGCCUGAUGCAGCAACGCCGCGUGCGGGAUGACGGCCUUCGGGUUGUAAACCGCUUUCGCCUGUGACGAAGCGUGAGUGACGGUAAUGGGUAAAGAAGCACCGGCUAACUACGUG
Molecule: ribosomal RNA, 468 nt
Filed under: uncultured bacterium
Lineage: Bacteria
Description: partial 16S ribosomal RNA
Rfam family: Bacterial small subunit ribosomal RNA
Source: RNAcentral